UGAAUACGAGACGCUAAGGCGUCGAAGUAGUGUAUGUCAUACUUCCAAGAAAAGCUUGCACUGUCAUAGAUAAAAAACGCCUGUACCAUAACCGACACAGGUGGGUAGGUAGAGUAUACUAGGGGCGCGAGAUAACUCUCUCUAAGGAACUCGGCAAAAUAACUCCGUAACUUCGGGAGAAGGAGUGCCUUAUUCUUAAGGUUGCAAUAACAAGAUCCAAGCAACUGUUUAUCAAGAACACAGGUCUCCGCUAAGUCGUAAGACGAUGUAUGGGGGCUGACGCCUGCCCAGUGCCAGAAGGUUAAAGAAGCUGGUUAGCAUUUGCGAAGCUAGUAACUGAAGCCCUGGUGAACGGCGGCCGUAACUAUAACGGUCCUAAGGUAGCGAAAUUCCUUGUCGGGUAAGUUCCGACCCGCACGAAAGGCGUAAUGAUUUGGAUACUGUCUCGGAGAGGGGCUCGGUGAAAUAGACUUGUCUGUGAAGAUGCGGACUACCUGCACCAGGACAGAAAGACCCUAUGAAGCUUUACUGUAACUUGAAAUUGAAAUUGGACUUUAUUCGCGCAGUAUAGGUGGGAGGCGUUGAUUAUAAUCUUGCGGGAUUAUUGGAGCCAUUAGUGAGAUACCACUCUUGUAAUGUUAGAUUUCUAACUUUGAAUCAUUAUCUGGUCAAAGAACAGUUUCAGGCGGGCAGUUUGACUGGGGCGGUCGCCUCCUAAACGGUAACGGAGGCGUACAAAGGUUUCCUCUGAACGGUUAGAAAUCGUAUCUAGAGUGUAAAGGCAUAAGGAAGCUUGACUGUGAGACCUACAAGUCGAGCAGGGACGAAAGUCGGUCUUAGUGAUCUGACGGUACUGAGUGGAAAGGCCGUCACUCAACGGAUAAAAGUUACUCUAGGAUAACAGGCUGAUCUCCCCCAAGAGUUCACAUCGACGGGGAGGUUUGGCACCUCGAUGUCGGCUCAUCGCAUCCUGGGGCGGUAGUACGUCCCAAGGGUUGGGCUGUUCGCCCAUGAAAGCGGUACGCGAGCUGGGUUCAGAACGUCGUGAGACAGUUCGGUCCAUAUCCGGUGUAGGCGUUAGAAUAUUGAGAGGAGCCUUCUUUAGUACGAGAGGACCGGGAAGGACAUACCUCUGGUGUACCAGUUAUCGUGCCAACGGUAAACGCUGGGUAGCUAUGUAUGGAGUGGAUAACCGCUGAAAGCAUCUAAGUGGGAAGCCCACCUCAAGAUAAGUAUUCCCC
RNAcentral lists this ribosomal RNA (1241 nucleotides) under metagenome. RNAcentral describes it as "bacterial LSU rRNA". It matches the Rfam family "Bacterial large subunit ribosomal RNA", at positions 1564 to 2816 of the family's 2925-position model. The record is from RNAcentral.